GAUGAAGAACGUAGCGAAAUGCGAUAAGUAGUGUGAAUUGCAGAAUUCAGUGAAUCAUCUAAUCUUUGAACGCACAUUGCGCCCUUUGGUAUUCCAAAGGGCAUGCCUGUUCGAGCGUCAUUUGUACCCUCAAGCUUUGCUUGGUGUUGGGCGUCUUGUCUCUAGCUUUGCUGGAGACUCGCCUUAAAGUAAUUGGCAGCCGGCCUACUGGUUUCGGAGCGCAGCACAAGUCGCACUCUCUAUCAGCAAAGGUCUAGCAUCCAUUAAGCCUUUUUUUCAACUUUUGACCUCGGAUCAGGUAGGGAUACCCGCUGAACUUAAGCAUAUCAAUAAGCGGAGGA
This 341-nucleotide unclassified non-coding RNA is filed under the name soil metagenome. RNAcentral's name for it is "partial contains 5.8S ribosomal RNA, internal transcribed spacer 2, and large subunit ribosomal RNA". The stretch from base 1 to 120 matches the Rfam family "5.8S ribosomal RNA", at positions 35 to 154 of the family's 154-position model. The record is from RNAcentral.